Molecule: ribosomal RNA, 368 nt
Filed under: uncultured Pseudomonas sp.
Lineage: Bacteria; Pseudomonadati; Pseudomonadota; Gammaproteobacteria; Pseudomonadales; Pseudomonadaceae
Description: bacterial SSU rRNA
Rfam family: Bacterial small subunit ribosomal RNA
Source: RNAcentral
GCCUUCGGGAACGUCUGACACAGGUGCUGCAUGGCUGUCGUCAGCUCGUGUCGUGAGAUGUUGGGUUAAGUCCGUAACGAGCGCAACCCUUGUCCUUAGUUACCAGCACGUUAUGGUGGGCACUCUAAGGAGACUGCCGGUGACAAACCGGAGGAAGGUGGGGAGUGACGUCAAGUCAUCAUGGCCCUUACGGCCUGGGCUACACACGUGCUACAAUGGUCGGUACAAAGGGUUGCCAAGCCGCGAGGUGGAGCUAAUCCCAUAAAACCGAUCGUAGUCCGGAUCGCAGUCUGCAACUCGACUGCGUGAAGUCGGAAUCGCUAGUAAUCGUGAAUCAGAAUGUCACGGUGAAUACGUUCCCGGGCCUU